RNAcentral lists this ribosomal RNA (570 nucleotides) under Triticum aestivum (bread wheat). Its description in RNAcentral is "partial small subunit ribosomal RNA". The record is from RNAcentral. Lineage: Eukaryota; Viridiplantae; Streptophyta; Magnoliopsida; Poales; Poaceae.
AUGCUGACCUUGAUCCCCAAGGAGGCUGAUGCCUCCAACAUGAAUUUUUUUAGGCCAAUUAGUCUACUAAAUUGUAGCUUCAAGAUCUUCACUAAGGUCCUUACAAAUAGACUAGCUGGGAUCCUGCAAAGGCUCAUAGCAAGUAACCAAUCAGCCUUCCUAAAAGGCAGAUAUAUCUUAGAAAGUGUGGUUACAGCUCAUGAGAUUUUGCACUCCAUCCACUCUAUCAAGAGGCAGGGCUUGGUACUUAAGUUAGACUAUGAGAAAGCCUUUGACAAGGUAGAAUUGGAGUUUCUUGAAGAGCUGCUCCAGGCAUGUUUAGCUAGUAUCCCUGUGUACUUACUUUCUUUCUUUAAAUUCUCUAAAUGGGUAAUAGAGCUUAUUAAUUCUCAAAUGGCAUGCAUGUGGAAUGAUUUUGAGGGGCACAGGAAAUUACACUUAGCUAAUUGGAAGAUGGUAUGUAUGAAAAAAGAAUUUGGGGGGCUGGGCAUCCCAAAUCUACAAGAGGUCAACCUCUGCCUCCUAGGGUCUUGGGUUAAAAGAUACUAUGAAGGUGAAGGGAAACCCUGA